RNAcentral lists this transfer RNA (72 nucleotides) under Clonorchis sinensis. It matches the Rfam family "tRNA". From Rfam's summary of the family: Transfer RNA (tRNA) molecules are approximately 80 nucleotides in length. Their secondary structure includes four short double-helical elements and three loops (D, anti-codon, and T loops). Lineage: Eukaryota; Metazoa; Platyhelminthes; Trematoda; Opisthorchiida; Opisthorchiidae. The record is from Rfam by way of RNAcentral.
GGCGGGAUGGCUCAGUGGUUAGAGCGCGAACUUACUGACCGGAAGGUCUGUGGUUCAAACCCACCCCCGCCU